UGAGCCCCUGUGCCGCCCCCAG
This 22-nucleotide microRNA is filed under the name Pongo pygmaeus (Bornean orangutan). RNAcentral describes it as "ppy-miR-1225-3p". RNAcentral also lists the same sequence under 1 other name. The record is from miRBase by way of RNAcentral. Lineage: Eukaryota; Metazoa; Chordata; Mammalia; Primates; Hominidae.